RNAcentral lists this ribosomal RNA (380 nucleotides) under uncultured bacterium. RNAcentral describes it as "bacterial SSU rRNA". It matches the Rfam family "Bacterial small subunit ribosomal RNA", at positions 30 to 409 of the family's 1533-position model. The record is from RNAcentral.
AUUGAACGCUGGCGGCAUGCCUUACACAUGCAAGUCGAACGGCAGCACGGGAGCAAUCCUGGUGGCGAGUGGCGAACGGGUGAGUAAUAUAUCGGAACGUGCCCAGUCCGUGGGGGAUAACGUAGCGAAAGCUACGCUAAUACCGCAUACGAUCUAUGGAUGAAAGCGGGGGAUCGCAAGACCUCGCGCGAUUGGAGCGGCCGAUAUCAGAAUUAGGUAGUUGGUGAGGUAAAGGCUCACCAAGCCGACGAUCUGUAGCUGGUCUGAGAGGACGACCAGCCACACUGGGACUGAGACACGGCCCAGACUCCUACGGAGGCAGCAGUGGGGAAUUUUGGUACAAUGGCGCAAGCCUGAUCCAGCAAUGCCGCGUGCAGGAU